AAUACUCCGGAAGAUUUAGUGGCGAACGGGUGAGGAACACGUGAGAAACUUGCCCCGGACUUUGGGAUAACAGUUGGAAACGACUGCUAAUACCGAAUACCUUCGGAGGCCCGCACGGGUCAUCGAAGAAAGAAUUUCGGUCCGGGAGAGUCUCGCGGCCUAUCAGCUAGUUGGUGGGGUAAUGGCCUACCAAGGCAACGACGGGUAGCUGGUCUGAGAGGAUGAUCAGCCACACUGGGACUGAGACACGGCCCAGACUCCUACGGGAGGCAGCAGUGGGGAAUCUUGUGCAAUGGGCGCAAGCCUGACACAGCAACGCCGCGUGCGGGAAGAAGGCCUUCGGGUCGUAAACCGCUUUCAGCAGGAACGAAAAUGACGGUACCUGCAGAAGAAGAUGCGGCCAACUACGUGCCAGCAGCCGCGGUGACACGUAGGCAUCAAGCGUUGUCCGGAUUUAUUGGGCGUAAAGAGCUCGUAGGCGGUUCAGCAAGUCGGGUGUGAAAACUAUGGGCUUAACCCAUAGCCUGCAUCCGAAACUGCUGUGACUAGAGUUCGGUAGGGGAGAGGGGAAUUCCUAGUGUAGCGGUGAAAUGCGCAGAUAUUAGGAGGAACACCGAUGGCGAAGGCCCCUCUCUGGGCCGAUACUGACGCUGAGGAGCGAAAGCGUGGGUAGCAAACAGGAUUAGAUACCCUGGUAGUC
RNAcentral lists this ribosomal RNA (700 nucleotides) under uncultured bacterium. Its description in RNAcentral is "bacterial SSU rRNA". It matches the Rfam family "Bacterial small subunit ribosomal RNA", at positions 78 to 795 of the family's 1533-position model. The record is from RNAcentral.